UACGGAGGGUGCGAGCGUUGUCCGGAAUCAUUGGGCGUAAAGGGCGCGUAGGUGGCCCGGUCAGUCUUUGGUGAAAGCGCGGGGCUCAACCCUGCGUCGGCCAGGGAUACUGCCGCGGCUCGAGCACUGUAGAGGCAGGCGGAAUUCCUGGUGUAGCGGUGGAAUGCGCAGAUAUCAGGAGGAACACCGGUGGCGAAGGCGGUUCUCUGGGCCAUUACUGACGCUGAGGAGCGAAAGCGUGGGGAGCGAACAGG
RNAcentral lists this ribosomal RNA (254 nucleotides) under uncultured bacterium. RNAcentral describes it as "partial 16S ribosomal RNA". It matches the Rfam family "Bacterial small subunit ribosomal RNA", at positions 524 to 776 of the family's 1533-position model. The record is from RNAcentral.